GCAAUGCCGCGUGUGGGAUGAAGCAUCUAGGUGUGUAAACCACUGUCAGGGUUUAGGAAACAAAUGACCAGACCCAAAGGAAGAGCCGGCUAACUCUGUGCCAGCAGCCGCGGUAAUACAGAGGGCUCAAGCGUUAAUCGGAAUCACUGGGCUUAAAGGGUCCGCAGGCGGACUGGAAAGUAUCUUGUGAAAUACCAUCGCUCAACGAUGGAAUUGCUCGGUAAACUUCCAGUCUUGAACACGGUAGGGGCCAUCGGAACUCUAGGUGGAGCGGUGAAAUGCGUAGAU
RNAcentral lists this ribosomal RNA (288 nucleotides) under Trieres chinensis. RNAcentral's name for it is "partial Bacterial small subunit ribosomal RNA". It matches the Rfam family "Bacterial small subunit ribosomal RNA", at positions 391 to 695 of the family's 1533-position model. The record is from RNAcentral. Lineage: Eukaryota; Bacillariophyta; Thalassiosirophyceae; Eupodiscales; Parodontellaceae.